UCAGAAAGAAAAGAAACAAAAAUUUUAUGCAAACAUUUUUCUUUUAAUUUUAAUUCUAAAUGUUGAUAAUUAAAAGAAAAAAUUAAUUAUUUUAUACAAAAACACUUAAAUUAUACUGCAACUUCAAAUUCCAGUUAAAAAUUCCGUUAUUUUAAGUUUUAAUAGUUUUGGCCAAGAAAAGUGAUGUUUCCGACCAUAGUGCGCUAUGACGAAAAAUAGCAUAUACGAUAUAUACAAUACCCUGAAGAAAGUUGUUACUUUUCUGCUAUUCGCUAUUGUGAUCGUAAUUCACAGGUUCGAACUGCUAUCGUAAAUCACAGGUUCGAACUGCGAUCACAGUUUCGAACUGCGAUCGCAAUCACUGUUUCGCACUGCGAUCACAGUUUCGAACUGCGAUCACAAUUCACACAAGUCAGAGUGGGAGCUAUGUUGCCUGGUUGAGCUCCUGACCGUAGAGGUCCUCGGUUGGCCACUCUGAUUGAGUGGCGGCACGGCGCGCGAACUAUGUGCAGAUUUUACAGCCGUAGAGGCUUGUGUCGCAGUAUUGCGCAGGCAACAUGGGGCCACGUAUCGCGUGGUCCACUCCCUGUGGGUCUUAAGGCCUGAACAGGUCUUAAGAUGGCUCCAUCCAUUGCAUGUGUUACACCUGACCAAGGUGGAGUUUCGAUGGAGCCUUUUAGCGCAGACGCAGCAGAAAAAUUCCUCCGGGCCCGGGUUGGACUCAAUGCCAGCACGAGUCAGGAGGAUACGGAGCAACCCUGCUGCAAGGCGUUGCUCCAAUGACGACUCACACAAAUUAGUACUCACCGAUCCAAACGGGGUUAGAUCGCCGAAAAAACAGCCCAUGGUCGGAUGAAAUCCGAGUCAUUUCCAGUGCGUAGAACCGGCUGUCGUGGGAAUUGUACAGAUAUUAUGUUACAGAUAUUAUGUGUUGCCAUAAUUACACAUUUAUCAAACGAAUAAGAAUGAAUAAAAAACUCAAACGCAGGAAACAAACACCAUCUG
Bactrocera dorsalis (oriental fruit fly) is the source of this 1005-nucleotide long non-coding RNA. RefSeq lists it as uncharacterized. The transcript has 2 exons. The record is from RefSeq and is a predicted model, not a curated record. Lineage: Eukaryota; Metazoa; Arthropoda; Insecta; Diptera; Tephritidae.